RNAcentral lists this ribosomal RNA (253 nucleotides) under uncultured bacterium. RNAcentral's name for it is "partial 16S ribosomal RNA". It matches the Rfam family "Bacterial small subunit ribosomal RNA", at positions 524 to 776 of the family's 1533-position model. The record is from RNAcentral.
UACGGAGGGUGCGAACGUUAAUCGGAAUCACUGGGCGUAAAGCGCGCGUAGGCGGUUUGUUAAGUGGGAUGUGGAAUCCCCGGGCUUAACCUGGGAAUUGCAUUUCAAACUGGCCGACUAGAGUACGGUAGAGGGAGGUAGAAUUUCCUGUGUAGCGGUGAAAUGCGUAGAUAUAGGAAGGAAUACCAGUGGCGAAGGCGGCCUCCUGGAUCGAUACUGACGCUGAGGCGCGAAAGCGUGGGGAGCAAACAGG